UCUUUAAACCACGAAUCGAACCCGGGGCGCCCGCGUGGCAGGCGAGCAUUCUACCACUGAACCAAAAG
Cordylochernes scorpioides is the source of this 68-nucleotide non-coding RNA. The record is from the annotation of a GenBank genome assembly. NCBI's taxonomy places the organism in Eukaryota, Metazoa, Arthropoda, Arachnida, Pseudoscorpiones, Chernetidae.